UCCAAUCGAACCCGGAGAUAGCUGGUUCUCCCCGAAAUAGCUUUAGGGCUAGCGUCGAGGUAAGUUGCGUGAAGGUAGAGCACUGAAUAUGUGAUGGCCCCAUCUCGGGGUACUGAGCAUAAUCAAACUGCGAAUGUCACGCCAACAUGCUCGGCAGUCAGACAGCGGGUGAUAAGGUCCGUUGUCAAGAGGGAAACAGCCCAGACCAUCAGCUAAGGUCCCAAAAUGUAUGCUAAGUGGAAAAGGAUGUGGAGAUGUACAGACAACUAGGAGGUUGGCUCAGAAGCAGCCAUCCUUUAAAGAGUGCGUAACAGCUCACUAGUCGAAUGACUCUGCGCCGAUAAUUUACCGGGGCUAAGCAUACUACCGAAGCUAUGGAUCCCAAGGGAUGGUAGGGGAGCGUUCCAUGAACGGAGAAGUACGACCGAAAGGACGUGUGGAGAUCAUGGAAGAGAGAAUGCCGGUGUGAGUAGCGGAACGUGGGUGAGAAUCCCACGCACCGAAAACCCAAGGUUUCCAGAGGAAGGUUCGUCCGCUCUGGGUAAGUCGGGACCUAAGGCGAGGCCGAAAGGCGUAGUCGAUGGACAACAGGUAGAGAUUCCUGUACCCGUAUAUAUGUGAAGGAAUGACGGAGAGAGGAAGCUGCAGCCAGCGGCUGGAAGAGCUGGUGCAAGCGAGAUAUCGGGAUGGCAGGCAAAUCCACCAUCCGAAACGAGAAGGCGUGAAGCGUACGGAAAGCUACGGCGAGUACGGAAGGCAGUGGAGGAACUUCCAAGAAAAGUUUCUAACGUUAAGUAUAUAUGGCCCGUACCGAAAAUGGACACACAUGGGUGAGGAGAGAAUCCUAAGGUGAGCGAGAGAACUAUAGCUAAGGAACUCUGCAAAAUGACUCCGUAACUUAGGGAGAAGGAGUGCUCAUAGAGAUAUGAGCCGCAGUGAAACGGCCCAAGCGACUGUUUACCAAAAACACAGCUCUCUGCUAAGCCGCAAGGCGAAGUAUAGGGGGUGACGCCUGCCCGGUGCUGGAAGGUUAAGGGGAGGGGUUAACGCAAGUGAAGCCCUGAACUGAAGCCCCAGUAAACGGCGGCCGUAACUAUAACGGUCCUAAGGUAGCGAAAUUCCUUGUCAGGUAAGUUCUGACCCGCACGAAAGGCGUAACGAUUUGGGCGCUGUCUCAGCUGUAGACUCGGUGAAGUCUUAGUACCUGUGAAGAUGCAGGUUACCCGCGACUAGACGGAAAGACCCCAUGGAGCUUCACUGCAGGUUGAUAUUGGGAUUUGAUGCAGCAUGUACAGGAUAGGUAGGAGGCAAAGAGAUGGAUACGCCAGUAUUCAAGGAGCCGCUGUUGGGAUACUACCCCUGUUGUAUUGGAUUUCUAACCGGACGACGUAGAGCCGUUGACGGGACAGUGUCAGUCGGGCAGUUUGACUGGGGCGGUCGCCUCCCAAAGAGUAACGGAGGCGCCCAAAGAUACCCUCAGCUUGGAUGGAAACCAAGCGCAGAGUGCAAAGGCAAAAGGGUGUUUGACUGCGAGACCCACAAGUCGAGCAGGGACGAAAGUCGGGCUUAGUGAUCCGGCGGUGCUGAAUGGAAAGGCCGUCGCUCAACGGAUAAAAGCUACCCUGGGGAUAACAGGCUGAUCUCCCCCAA
This 1650-nucleotide ribosomal RNA is filed under the name human gut metagenome. RNAcentral describes it as "bacterial LSU rRNA". It matches the Rfam family "Bacterial large subunit ribosomal RNA", at positions 828 to 2495 of the family's 2925-position model. The record is from RNAcentral.